RNAcentral lists this transfer RNA (47 nucleotides) under Hydroporus feryi. RNAcentral describes it as "partial tRNA-Pro". Lineage: Eukaryota; Metazoa; Arthropoda; Insecta; Coleoptera; Dytiscidae. The record is from RNAcentral.
AUUUAUAUAGUUUAUUAAAACAUUACAUUUUCAAUGUAAAAAUAAAA